GAUGUUCCUUUUGUGCCAGCAGCCGCGGUAAUACGGAGGAUGCGAGCGUUAUCCGGAUUUAUUGGGUUUAAAGGGAGCGCAGACGGGUCGUUAAGUCAGCUGUGAAAGUUUGGGGCUCAACCUUAAAAUUGCAGUUGAUACUGGCGUCCUUGAGUGCGGUUGAGGUGUGCGGAAUUCGUGGUGUAGCGGUGAAAUGCUUAGAUAUCACGAAGAACUCCGAUUGCGAAGGCAGCACACUAAUCCGUAACUGACGUUCAUGCUCGAAAGUGUGGGUAUCAAACAGG
RNAcentral lists this ribosomal RNA (284 nucleotides) under Phocaeicola plebeius DSM 17135. RNAcentral describes it as "partial 16S ribosomal RNA". It matches the Rfam family "Bacterial small subunit ribosomal RNA", at positions 493 to 776 of the family's 1533-position model. The record is from RNAcentral. Lineage: Bacteria; Pseudomonadati; Bacteroidota; Bacteroidia; Bacteroidales; Bacteroidaceae.